AGGGUUUGAUUAUGGCUCAGAACGUACGCUGGCGGCACGCCUAACACAUGCAAGUCGAACGAAGUAGCAAUACUUAGUGGCAGACGGGUGAGUAACAUGUAGGUAUCUGCCCUUUGGCCUGGAAUAACACGAGGAAACUUGUGCUAAUACCGGAUAAGUCUUUACGGAGAAAGCUUUAUGCACCAUUGGAUGAGCCUGCACUUGAUUAGUUUGUUGGUGGGGUAAUGGCCUACCAAGACUGUGAUCAAUAGCUGAUUUGAGAGGAUGAUCAGCCACAUUGGGACUGAGACACGGCCCAAACUCCUACGGGAGGCAGCAGUGGGGAAUCUUGCACAAUGGAGGAAACUCUGAUGCAGCGAUGCCGCGUGAGUGAAGAAGGCCCUUGGGUUGUAAAGCUCUUUCGUCGGGGAAGAAAAUGACUGUACCCGAAUAAGAAGGUCCGGCUAACUUCGUGCCAGCAGCCGCGGUAAUACGAAGGGACCUAGCGUAGUUCGGAAUUACUGGGCUUAAAGAGUUCGUAGGUGGUUGAAAAAGUUAGUGGUGAAAUCCCAGAGCUUAACUCUGGAACUGCCAUUAAAACUUUUCAGCUAGAGUAUGAUAGAGGAAAGCAGAAUUUCUAGUGUAGAGGUGAAAUUCGUAGAUAUUAGAAAGAAUACCAAUUGCGAAGGCAGCUUUCUGGAUCAUUACUGACACUGAGGAACGAAAGCAUGGGUAGCGAAGAGGAUUAGAUACCCUCGUAGUCCAUGCCGUAAACGAUGUGUGUUAGACGUUGGAAAUUUAUUUUCAGUGUCGCAGGGAAACCGAUAAACACACCGCCUGGGGAGUACGACCGCAAGGUUAAAACUCAAAUGAAUUGACGGGGACCCGCACAAGUAGUGGAGCAUGUGGUUUAAUUCGAAGAUACGCGCAGAACCUUACCAACACUUGACAUGUUCGUCGCGACUCUAAGAGAUUAGAGUUUUCGGUUCGGCCGGACGAAACACAGGUGCUGCAUGGCUGUCGUCAGCUCGUGUCGUGAGAUGUUGGGUUAAGUCCCGCAACGAGCGCAACCCUCACUUUUAGUUGCCAUCAUUAAGUUGGGCACUCUGAAAGAACUGCCAGUGAUAAGCUGGAGGAAGGUGGGGAUGACGUCAAGUCCUCAUGGCCCUUACGUGUUGGGCUACACACGUGCUACAAUGGUAUCUACAACAGGAAGCAAGACUGCGAAGUUAAGCAAAUCCCUAAAAGAUACCUCAGUUCGGAUUGCACUCUGCAACUCGAGUGCAUGAAGCUGGAAUUACUAGUAAUCGUGGAUCAGCGUGCCACGGUGAAUGCGUUCCCGGGUCUUGUACACACCGCCCGUCACACCAUGGGAGUUGGUUCUACCUUAAGGCAAGGUUUCAAACCCUUGACCACGGUAUAGUCAGCGACUGGGGUGAAGUCGUAACAAGGUAGCC
RNAcentral lists this ribosomal RNA (1436 nucleotides) under uncultured Pelagibacterales bacterium. RNAcentral's name for it is "uncultured SAR11 cluster alpha proteobacterium 16S ribosomal RNA". It matches the Rfam family "Bacterial small subunit ribosomal RNA". Lineage: Bacteria; Pseudomonadati; Pseudomonadota; Alphaproteobacteria; Candidatus Pelagibacterales. The record is from RNAcentral.